CGAACGCUGGCGGCGUGCUUAACACAUGCAAGUCGAACGAGAAAGUCCUUCGGGAUGAGUACAGUGGCGCACGGGUGAGUAAUGCAUAGGAACGUACCGUUGUGGGGAACAACCACGGGAAACUGUGGCUAAUACCGCAUAGUCUCGCAAGAGUAAAGGUGGCCUCUACUUGUAAGCUACCGCCAAUUGAUCGGCCUAUGUCCCAUUAGCUAGUUGGUAGGGUAAUGGCUUACCAAGGCUACGAUGGGUAGCUGGUCUGAGAGGAUGAUCAGCCACACUGGAACUGAGACACGGUCCAGACUCCUACGGGAGGCAGCAGUGGGGAAUAUUGCACAAUGGGCGCAAGCCUGAUCUAGCCAUGCCGCGUGAGUGAUGAAGGCCUUAGGGUCGUAAAGCUCUUUCGCCUGUGAUGAUAAUGACAGUAGCAGGUAAAGAAACCCCGGCUAACUCCGUG
Molecule: ribosomal RNA, 454 nt
Filed under: uncultured bacterium
Lineage: Bacteria
Description: bacterial SSU rRNA
Rfam family: Bacterial small subunit ribosomal RNA
Source: RNAcentral